AGUGUCUCUCAAUCCAGAUGGAGCUUUAAAGUGUCGUUCUAACCAAUCAAACAGGAUCAAACAUGAGAUAUAAAUGGAGUGUAGAAAGGAAAACGCAUACAGAAAACUGCUGGAGCAUGAGAAUCCACAGAACAGCAAAAAACAAGAGAACUAGAAAAGAGGCCAGAAAUGAGACACAAACCAGUGGAUCUCGAGAGAAAAGCAGACGGAGACUUGUUAGACGGAGCAGUAUGGAUAGAAUAAAUCCAGAAUUCUAAUGUGAUUUAGAUGAGCCUGUAAAGAGUCACUCUGAGUUAAAGCUGAGGUGAGAUUCUCACAUCAAAACCCUUCAGAUGUUCUCAAGGACAAACACCAGACCUCUGAGACACCAGCAGCUGAAAACAGAUCAUCUUCAUCAUCAUCGCCAUCAUCUUCAUCAUCAUCAUCAUCACAGAUUCCAUUGCUAACUAUUCUCUCAGAUCUUUAUCUCAAAUGCUGCACUUUAAUGACAACAAUUUAACUCGAUGAAUGUUUGAUCUGCAUCUGUGUGACACAGAGACUUUUUUUUACAAAAUAUUUUUAAUUUUGCACGGCCUCAUACAUUUCAUGUAUUAGGUAAUUUUUAAUAUUCUUGUACAUUUUUACAUGCUUUAGAUUGUUUUCUGGAUAUGUUUGUACCGUUUAUACCAUUUAUUUUAUAUGCAUUUAUUAUUCAUGUUUUCACCAUAUUCUACAUUUAUGCAACAAGCACUGGAGAUGAUAAUGGUUCGGUAUAUUUCAUUUGUGCAGUUGACAUAUUUAGCUAUGCAGAACUUAUUUGUACAGAGUAGAGGCCAAAUGUGUUUUCUGGCCUGGAAAAAUUUAUAUAUUGUACAUAUUUUUUGUAUCUAUAAAAUGCUACAUGCACUUAAAUCUUAAGUGCUCCUGAUUAGCCUAAAUGUGUCUAUGUUUACGCGAAUCAUUCAUGAUCCAGCUUCACCAACAGAAGAAUUGAGUGUAAGGU
Carassius gibelio (silver crucian carp) is the source of this 982-nucleotide long non-coding RNA. RefSeq lists it as uncharacterized. The record is from RefSeq and is a predicted model, not a curated record. NCBI's taxonomy places the organism in Eukaryota, Metazoa, Chordata, Actinopteri, Cypriniformes, Cyprinidae. The transcript is spliced from 3 exons.